GGAGAGGUCGCCUAGUGGUCGAUGGCGCGCGCUUGGAAAGCGCGUAUACCGCAAGGUAUCUAGGGUUCGAAUCCCUAUCUCUCCGCCA
Molecule: transfer RNA, 88 nt
Filed under: Patescibacteria group bacterium
Lineage: Bacteria
Description: tRNA-Ser
Rfam family: tRNA
About the family: Transfer RNA (tRNA) molecules are approximately 80 nucleotides in length. Their secondary structure includes four short double-helical elements and three loops (D, anti-codon, and T loops). Further hydrogen bonds mediate the characteristic L-shaped molecular structure. tRNAs have two regions of fundamental functional importance: the anti-codon, which is responsible for specific mRNA codon recognition, and the 3' end, to which the tRNAs corresponding amino acid is attached (by aminoacyl-tRNA synthetases). tRNAs cope with the degeneracy of the genetic code in two manners: having more than one tRNA (with a specific anti-codon) for a particular amino acid; and 'wobble' base-pairing, i.e. permitting non-standard base-pairing at the 3rd anti-codon position.
Source: RNAcentral